CUACGGGUGGCAGCAGUGGGGAAUAUUGCACAAUGGGCGCAAGCCUGAUGCAGCCAUGCCGCGUGUAUGAAGAAGGCCUUCGGGUUGUAAAGUACUUUCAGCGGGGAGGAAGGGAGUAAAGUUAAUACCUUUGCUCAUUGACGUUACCCGCAGAAGAAGCACCGGCUAACUCCGUGCCAGCAGCCGCGGUAAUACGGAGGGUGCAAGCGGUUAAUCGGAAUUACUGGGCGUAAAGCGCACGCAGGCGGUUUGUUAAGUCAGAUGUGAAAUCCCCGGGCUCAACCUGGGAACUGCAUCUGAUACUGGCAAGCUUGAGUCUCGUAGAGGGGGGUAGAAUUCCAGGUGUAGCGGUGAAAUGCGUAGAGAUCUGGAGGAAUACCGGUGGCGAAGGCGGCCCCCUGGACGAAGACUGACGCUCAGGUGCGAAAGCGUGGGGAGCAAACAGGAUUAAUACCCUGGUAGUC
RNAcentral lists this ribosomal RNA (464 nucleotides) under uncultured bacterium. RNAcentral describes it as "partial 16S ribosomal RNA". It matches the Rfam family "Bacterial small subunit ribosomal RNA", at positions 339 to 795 of the family's 1533-position model. The record is from RNAcentral.